Dinoponera quadriceps is the source of this 2154-nucleotide long non-coding RNA. RefSeq lists it as uncharacterized. The transcript is spliced from 3 exons. Lineage: Eukaryota; Metazoa; Arthropoda; Insecta; Hymenoptera; Formicidae. The record is from RefSeq and is a predicted model, not a curated record.
GACGACCGUAUCCAGUUCCAGGGACGGAAAGGCUCGCGAUCCUCGUUCGCUUCGUAAGGACACGGUGCGCGUUUGGCGAUCCACACCAGCUGCGAGAACAUCAUGUUGGACUUAGGGACUCAAAAUGGAUGAUUAAAAAGAGGAGGAGAAAGCCUUGUCAUCGACUGUCGCUGCAUCUCGCAUCCUGUAUUCCGUCCUGGAGUCGGCUUUCGGUUGUCAUUGGAGCGAGGCACUCAAUGGUCCCACACGAAACUACGAUUCGAUCGGAAACGCAACGUUAAUUAGUAAUCAUAUUAAUCGAUUAUGGUCAUCAAAUGCUACGGGCGAAAUAUCUCCAAUACGUAUCACUCUAUAAUAGCUUUGGCCGUUUUGAAAGCUCUUAAUAUGUUGAUAAUAUGUAUUGAUUCUGCCGGUGUUGUUUACCGUCGAUUGUUUUGGCACUCGCGUAUAUCGUGUACCUUUCUGUGACCGUGUCAUUACGUAUCGAGUCGACGGGUGACGUACAUACAUCGCAAUGCAAAACAAAUGUGUCGGCGAGAUAUUUAUCGUUUCCGUCGACUUAAAAUAUUUGAUCAAGUUUUCGUCGACGAAAUCAUGUUCUUUAACAUGCGUUUCUCCGAUCGAAUCGUAUCUACGCGAGUGUCAGUGUCGGUGCCAUGUGUACGUAUCCGGUGUGCCACAUCGAGGUAACUAGGAGCCAGGAUGCUCACGACGAUGGAUGCAGGAGGCCGGGACGCGGAUAGCGAUACGUCAUAUAUUUCCAGUAACCUCAGAAUGUCCAAGCAGAUGAUCGAAUGCGGAGUAUAACCGAAGAACGGCGAUAAUCGAAGGCCGUCGCGCUGGGCGCUCGCAGAUCGAAGUUAUUCGGUUUGUUGGGUACCCGAGAUCGACCUUAUAUGAGUUGCGACUAAAUAUAUAAUAGCCAGGACGAAAUUUCCGGCCUCUGUUCACGUCCUAGGCGUCGUCUCCAGUGAGGGUCACGUCAUGCCGCCACAUUUCUUUCAAAAGAAAGAAACUGUCACGAAAGAGGUUUAUUUACGCGUGUUGACGAGGGUAGUGAAGCCGUGGAUAGAUACCGUGGCCGCCGGGAGGCCGUACGUCUUUCAGCGGGACAGCGCGCCAGCACAAACAAGUCAUUUACUUCAAAACCGGCUGUAGGAUAAUGUGGACAUGUUUUGGCCCAAGAAAUCCUGGCCUUUGAAUCCAUUGGAUUACUACGUGCGGAGCGUCAUUGAACGAGUGACCAACAAGUUGAGACAUCCCAACGUGACAUCUGACAGGCCGCUAUCGAGGCGGCAUUCGCCAAUAUGGGCAAGGACGCGGUUGCAGAGAGCGUGUCAGCGCUUCAGGACGAGGAUCGAAGCAGUCAUCGAAGCAAAAGGGGGUUACAUAGAAUAAUUUUACUCUAAAAAGAUACCGCUAGUGAUGUAUAAAAAGUUUUUUUGUAAUUUUUACACUUCGACGAACUGAAUUUUGUUUACAAAUUGUUCAUUUUGUCCGGAUUUUGAUGGCGGGCCCUGCAUAUACAUGUACAUGCGACGCUUAUAUCCUCGUUAUCUCUGUCAUAUAAUUUUCGAUAUAUUUUAAUAAAGCAAAAUCGUUUGUGUGUACAUGAAAGAGACACCAAUCGAACGGUGAUCGGAUAAAAGGCGGAGGAGAUUUAUGAUGUGAGAAAUUCGCGAGAUCAGAGUUAAUCGUUUUUUAAUUUGAAACUGACACUGAAGGAGCGACGGAGAAAUGAUACGGGAUAUCGUAAUGUGUCGCGGAAGGCAGUAUUACCGCUGCUCGCUGCAUAUUGUUGCUUAGUAGCUAACAUACGUUUGCUAUCUUUCACUCUUUAACGCAUACAUAGCGGGGCACAAAGAUCGUGUUAAGACUUGUAAAGAGAUAUCUGUAACGAGUAGAUGUUAUUUUUACAGCUCCUGUUAAUUCUCACUUUUCUUUUUUAUAGCCGACAUGAUCGGCGAUAGAUCGAUACGCACGAUGUCCGGUCAUUGGCGCGUCGAUUCGCCAACGGGCGAUCGAUCGAAGCUGUAAUGACAGGACACUCUAUAUGACCCCGGUUGUCGAAUAUUUUCACAUCUCAGUCUGCAAAUUGACUCGUUCGCCGCAAAUUUCAACGUAGCCUAGUCGAAAUUGAUAUUUUUUAUAGCA